RNAcentral lists this ribosomal RNA (522 nucleotides) under uncultured bacterium. RNAcentral's name for it is "bacterial SSU rRNA". It matches the Rfam family "Bacterial small subunit ribosomal RNA", at positions 777 to 1297 of the family's 1533-position model. The record is from RNAcentral.
AAUAGAUACCCUGGUAGUCCACGCCGUAAACGAUGAGUGCUAAGUGUUAGAGGGUUUCCGCCCUUUAGUGCUGAAGUUAACGCAUUAAGCACUCCGCCUGGGGAGUACGGCCGCAAGGCUGAAACUCAAAGGAAUUGACGGGGGGCCCGCACAAGCGGUGGAGCAUGUGGUUUAAUUCGAAGCAACGCGAAGAACCUUACCAGGUCUUGACAUCCUCUGACAACCCUAGAGAUAGGGCUUCUCCUUCGGGAGCAGAGUGACAGGUGGUGCAUGGUUGUCGUCAGCUCGUGUCGUGAGAUGUUGGGUUAAGUCCCGCAACGAGCGCAACCCUUGAUCUUAGUUGCCAUCAUUAAGUUGGGCACUCUAAGGUGACUGCCGGUGACAAACCGGAGGAAGGUGGGGAUGACGUCAAAUCAUCAUGCCCCUUAUGACCUGGGCUACACACGUGCUACAAUGGACGGUACAAAGAGCUGCAAGACCGCGAGGUGGAGCUAAUCUCAUAAAACCCGUUCUCAGUUCGGA